UAGGAGAGCUGUCUUUGUCGGUUGAAUAUUAGAAAGUCUACUGUCAUGGAGUAGCUCUCUUAGA
RNAcentral lists this microRNA precursor (64 nucleotides) under Strongyloides ratti. RNAcentral describes it as "microRNA str-mir-47 precursor". Its record names the gene str-mir-47. Lineage: Eukaryota; Metazoa; Nematoda; Chromadorea; Rhabditida; Strongyloididae. The record is from miRBase by way of RNAcentral.